CUCUGUUCUCUCUCUCUCUCUCUCUCUCUCGGAUUUCUUUUUCCCUCUGUUCUCUCUCUCUCUCUCUCGGAUUUUGGAUCAAAAUGACCUUCUCGGAUCAUCCUCCUCUGUGUAUCUUCAUCGACGACGGCUGAGAAAUGCCUUAGCGACUUACAUUCUUCUUCUUCUUCUUCGUGUACAUUGCUGGUUUUGCUUUACUUUUGAGGUAGAAAUUAUACGAGUGAUGGAUUACAACUGGCAUUGCUUAUCUCCAGGCAUUGUAAUCGUCUACAAUGUUGAGGUUCCUCUACGGUGACGGACUUUUCGGCAUUGAAAACAGUUGCAGAAUAAGGUACGAGGAUGUGUAAUGUUGUU
This is a long non-coding RNA of Cucurbita moschata (crookneck pumpkin), 354 nucleotides long. RefSeq lists it as uncharacterized. The transcript is spliced from 3 exons. NCBI's taxonomy places the organism in Eukaryota, Viridiplantae, Streptophyta, Magnoliopsida, Cucurbitales, Cucurbitaceae. The record is from RefSeq and is a predicted model, not a curated record.